This 148-nucleotide non-coding RNA is filed under the name Tessaracoccus lapidicaptus. Lineage: Bacteria; Bacillati; Actinomycetota; Actinomycetes; Propionibacteriales; Propionibacteriaceae. The record is from RNAcentral.
AUCGGAAACGGUGGGGACGGCGGACGGGGAGAAUCUGGGAAGCCGGUGAGAUUCCGGCACAGGCCCGCUGCGGUGAACCGAGCCUCCACUCAUGAGUUGAGCGGAGGACUCGGCAAGUCCGAAGACCGGCCUCCCGCCCGACCAGUCA